CCUGGACUGACCGGUCGGAUGAGGAGAGCGCCUCCACUCGCACAUUUCAUUUUGUACACCACCGCAUCUUUUGUGUAAUUAAAUGCUGUUAACUUUUAUAAGCUUCCCUUGACUCUUUUCAGUCUCUCCUGCCUUCGGGGUUCUAGAAUAUACUAACACUAUCCAAAAUCAAGGAGGGGAGAAUGCACCGCAAAGCCUGUAAAGAAGGAGCCUACAUACAUGUACGUGGGUGAGCUGAUGAGGCUGGUGUUUGAAGAAGUCUUUGAGGACCCAACACCCUUUGUGGAGGAGAUGAAUAAAAUCAACAUUCCAAAGGACCUGUCCACUCAAUUUGACAGGCCCUCAAAGGAGGAAGUGGUAGCCCGCCAUGUCUCACGUUUUAGUCUAGGGGCGGUCGGAAGCCCACGUACUGUCCAGCCAGAUCAGGGAACUCCUGGCGUAUCCGGCGGACCACACACGACGGGAUGACCACUCUGAUUCCUCGUCCCAAAAAGCCCCAGCACCAGCUUACGAAGCUGCGAUAGGCCAGAUGCCUAAAACGCCUAUAAGAGGAGGAAUGGAUGAUAACAUAUAUGUGCUGUCCUGUUUUUCACCCUUACACUCUGGCUGCUUGAAUAACUGAAUUUCCCCACAGGGAUUAAUAAAGGUCCAUCUUAUCUCAUACAGUGUAUAUAUACACAUGAUCAAUUUGUACAUUUAUCAAAAUAAAGUUUGAUGGAACUACUUGAUAGCCUUUCUUCCCUGAAUUAUUUGCUCCUAGAUCAUUCAUAUAUAGCAAACCAUUAUUUGAUUUUUCAUCUAAUACAGUAGUAGUUUAUUAUAGCUAAAAAUAACUUACUCUUCUUCAGUUCUACGCCUCAAAGGUCCAUAAUCAAACCGAUAAAUAUUGUGGAGGUUCUGCAGGGUGUAGGGAUUGAGGCAGUUUGGUUCUAGUCCGGGGUGGUCAACCAUGCACACAAUGGGUUCUGGGACUUGGUGCAUUCGUGUUAAAACCUAUAGGAGGAUAAGAUAUUUGUAACAUAAUACGUUUAGCAAUUAAAUCCAACUAUGGCGAGGUUUACAAAAUAAACAUUAAAUUACUAUAGAAUAAAUAAAAGGGCAUAUAGUCUAUUGACUUGACAAGUAUGUAUGGUGUAUAUAAUGUUGUGUGCUACUGUUGGUGUUUUUGUAUUUGUUGUGGUGACACCCUGUUUUGACCAUAAUUCACCUUUGGUAUAGUGUUGCCACACGGACCCUUUAGUGUGUGCUCUUAGGUUUAGCUUGUCAUUCCUAGCUUGUCAGACAGAGCAGACAUGUAUUUUACCUGAUUCUAAACACACCGCCCCCGACUCCCUUUCAUCGGCACUACACUGUCACCUUUCUAAUCUCCCUGCAACAGAGGUUUUCCACCUCGGUAGGCAUUACUGCGCAGUUUCCACAUGUGCACCUAAAUAACAACAGUUGGAAAGUUUGGUUAGUCAGCGGACACACUUGUUACUGUGAUGUAGAUAAAUGAUGAAGUUCUAACAUUACAUCUGAAAUGUAGCAGCUAUACAAAAUUAAAACGUUCCACUGUGAAA
This is a long non-coding RNA of Gymnodraco acuticeps, 1559 nucleotides long. RefSeq lists it as uncharacterized. Lineage: Eukaryota; Metazoa; Chordata; Actinopteri; Perciformes; Bathydraconidae. The transcript has 2 exons. The record is from RefSeq and is a predicted model, not a curated record.